UAGGUAAAUGAAGCAAUGGAAGGGUUUUU
This 29-nucleotide non-coding RNA is filed under the name Mus musculus (house mouse). Lineage: Eukaryota; Metazoa; Chordata; Mammalia; Rodentia; Muridae. The record is from RNAcentral.